Molecule: ribosomal RNA, 468 nt
Filed under: uncultured bacterium
Lineage: Bacteria
Description: partial 16S ribosomal RNA
Rfam family: Bacterial small subunit ribosomal RNA
Source: RNAcentral
GACGAACGCUGGCGGCGUGCUUAACACAUGCAAGUCGAACGGAAAGGCCCUGCUUUUGUGGGGUGCUCGAGUGGCGAACGGGUGAGUAACACGUGAGUAACCUGCCCUUGACUUUGGGAUAACUUCAGGAAACUGGGGCUAAUACCGGAUAGGAGCUCCUGCUGCAUGGUGGGGGUUGGAAAGUUUCGGCGGUUGGGGAUGGACUCGCGGCUUAUCAGCUUGUUGGUGGGGUAGUGGCUUACCAAGGCGUUGACGGGUAGCCGGCCUGGGAGGGUGACCGGCCACAUUGGGACUGAGAUACGGCCCAGACUCCUACGGGAGGCAGCAGUGGGGAAUAUUGCACAAUGGGCGGAAGCCUGAUGCAGCAACGCCGCGUGCGGGAUGACGGCCUUCGGGUUGUAAACCGCUUUCGCCUGUGACGAAGCGUGAGUGACGGUAAUGGGUAAAGAAGCACCGGCUAACUACGUG